AAUACCCGCUGAACUUAAGCAUAUCAGUAAGCCGGAGGAAAAGAAAC
This 47-nucleotide ribosomal RNA is filed under the name Radopholus similis. RNAcentral's name for it is "partial 28S ribosomal RNA". Lineage: Eukaryota; Metazoa; Nematoda; Chromadorea; Rhabditida; Pratylenchidae. The record is from RNAcentral.